CCUCGGCCUGCUGCGGCGACAGCAGCCCGUUGGUGUGCGGCACGCUGCGGUCCGUACCCGGCCCGGGGCCCGCGCCCGCGCCCGGGUGGAAGCGGGCCUUGGCGUAGUUGCUCACGAACUGGUCCUGCAGGAAAGAGCCGGCCAUGGCGUAGCGGGCCCCGGGCACGAUCUGCGAGCGCGGCGAGUCGUUGGGCGAGGGGGUCAGGCGGUCCAUGUCACAGCCGGUGUAGAUCCUGCGGGAUUGUUUCAGAAACCCCUAGGAAAAAGCCGCGCACGCAGUAAUCAUGAAAGACUGGCCUUCACCCGUGUUCUGGAACCCGAGGUUUGCUGCUGGAAGCCUCCAAAGUACUUAGUGUCUAUUGUUUCCCCUGUGUGAAACUUUCACUCCCACCUCUACUAAUACAAACAAGAAUUACUACUCUG
Molecule: long non-coding RNA, 423 nt
Filed under: Homo sapiens (human)
Lineage: Eukaryota; Metazoa; Chordata; Mammalia; Primates; Hominidae
Description: non-protein coding lnc-DPP4-1:3
Source: RNAcentral